Sesamum indicum (sesame) is the source of this 1031-nucleotide non-coding RNA. The record is from RefSeq and is a predicted model, not a curated record. Lineage: Eukaryota; Viridiplantae; Streptophyta; Magnoliopsida; Lamiales; Pedaliaceae.
GUUGGGGUUUAAUACCACUGGCGGAGGGUUUAUUACUCCGGUUGAUGGAAGCGAAGAUGUGUUUCUUUCAUGAAUCAGCACACCCAGGAGAAGCGGUGUUGGAGGUGGAUGCGACACAAAAAUCCAAGAAAGUAAACCCCACUGAGGAAGCUGCCGAAAGUUAAUCGGUCUCUGGUAGCCCGACUUCUUGAGGAGGAUGAAGAGUUGAAUGAGAUUUAGGGAAGUGAUGAUGCAGAUGUUCAGAAAACAUCAAAGAAUAAGAAAGGUCUCACGAGUGAAGUUCUCAAAGAUAUGAGGUUUACAACUAUGUUUGAAAAUAAGCAGCCAAAUUACGUCGUUUCUUGACACCGCUUGCAGAACUUUGAGGUUGAUGAAUUCUCAAACGAAUACCUGGCUUUGCACCCAAUGACAUCAAUAACAAAAAAAGGCAUCUUUGCUGGAGGAGCAUUUUCAAGCUGUUGAAGAAGAGGAUGAAAAGGCUAUUGGUGGUUCUGAUGCAUCAUGAGCGAGUGAAUUGUGAGAUGAUGAGCAUGAAAACACAAAGGCCAAAUUCAGGAAGAAAGUACAAGCUCCUAGAUUUUUCAAAGUGAAGGAUAAAUGGCAAAAUAAGGAUUUUCUAAAAACCCCUCAAAAACAGAGAGGAAAAACCAACAGAGGGAUUGGGGUUUAGUACCACUGGCGGAGGGUUUAUUACUCCGGUUGAUGGAAGCGAAGAUGUGUUUCUUUCAUCAAUCAGCACACCCAGGAGCACCGUUUGGAGGUGGAUGCGACACAAAAAUCCAAGAAAGUAAACCCCACUGGUAAAAACCCUCAAAACUACUGUUCGCCUCCCAUCAUCAAACCCCAUCAAUACCCACAUGUUUCCACUUCUCGAAUUUUUUAUUUCUUUUAUUUAGGGUUUGAAAAGUUGUCCUCAAGCAAAAGUCCGACACUGCAAAAAAUAUGAUCUCAACAUUGUGCUAAUAUUCCGUAACAACAAAGGUAACCUAUAACCCAUAUGCAGAUAAUCUCAAAACACAAAUGCCGCAAUA